ACCCGCACAAGCGGUGGAUGAUGUGGAUUAAUCGAUGCAACGCGAAAACCUUACCUACCCUUGACAUGUCCGGAAUCCCGAAGAGAUUUGGGAGUGCUCGCAAGAGAACCGGAACACAGGUGCUGCAUGGCUGUCGUCAGCUCGUGUCGUGAGAUGUUGGGUUAAGUCCCGCAACGAGCGCAACCCUUGUCAUUAGUUGCCAUCAUUUGGUUGGGCACUCUAAUGAGACUGCCGGUGACAAACCGGAGGAAGGUGGGGAUGACGUCAAGUCCUCAUGGCCCUUAUGGGUAGGGCUUCACACGUCAUACAAUGGUCGGUACAGAGGGUUGCCAACCCGCGAGGGGGAGCUAAUCCCACAAAGCCGAUCGUAGUCCGGAUCGCAGUCUGCAACUCGACUGCGUGAAGUCGGAAUCGCUAGUAAUCGUGGAUCAGCAUGUCACGGUGAAUACGUUCCCGGGUCUU
RNAcentral lists this ribosomal RNA (462 nucleotides) under uncultured Rhodocyclaceae bacterium. Its description in RNAcentral is "bacterial SSU rRNA". It matches the Rfam family "Bacterial small subunit ribosomal RNA", at positions 919 to 1382 of the family's 1533-position model. The record is from RNAcentral. Lineage: Bacteria; Pseudomonadati; Pseudomonadota; Betaproteobacteria; Rhodocyclales; Rhodocyclaceae.